This 292-nucleotide ribosomal RNA is filed under the name uncultured bacterium. RNAcentral describes it as "partial 16S ribosomal RNA". The record is from RNAcentral.
GGACUACUGGGGUAUCUAAUCCUGUUCGCUCCCCACACUUUCGCUCCUCAGCGUCAGGUAAUGCCCAGAGAACCGCCUUCGCCACCGGUGUUCCUCCUGAUAUCUGCGCAUUUCACCGCUACACCAGGAAUUCCGUUCUCCCCUGCAUACCUCUAGUCUGCCCGUAUCGGAAGCAGGCUCGGGGUUGAGCCCCGAGUUUUCACUCCCGACGUGACAAACCGCCUACGAGCCCUUUACGCCCAAUAAUUCCGGACAACGCUCGCACCCUACGUAUUACCGCGGCUGCUGGCAC